Molecule: non-coding RNA, 184 nt
Filed under: Escherichia coli
Lineage: Bacteria; Pseudomonadati; Pseudomonadota; Gammaproteobacteria; Enterobacterales; Enterobacteriaceae
Also listed under: 1 other name
Description: 6S RNA
Rfam family: 6S / SsrS RNA
About the family: E. coli 6S RNA was the first non coding RNA to be sequenced, but its function was unknown until recently. It consists of 184 nucleotides that fold into an extended hairpin structure with a large single-stranded internal bulge. The 6S RNA specifically associates with RNA polymerase holoenzyme containing the sigma70 specificity factor.
Source: RNAcentral
AUUUCUCUGAGAUGUUCGCAAGCGGGCCAGUCCCCUGAGCCGAUAUUUCAUACCACAAGAAUGUGGCGCUCCGCGGUUGGUGAGCAUGCUCGGUCCGUACGAGAAGCCUUAAAACUGCGACGACACAUUCACCUUGAACCAAGGGUUCAAGGGUUACAGCCUGCGGCGGCAUCUCGGAGAUUCC